This 468-nucleotide ribosomal RNA is filed under the name uncultured bacterium. Its description in RNAcentral is "partial 16S ribosomal RNA". It matches the Rfam family "Bacterial small subunit ribosomal RNA", at positions 28 to 507 of the family's 1533-position model. The record is from RNAcentral.
GACGAACGCUGGCGGCGUGCUUAACACAUGCAAGUCGAACGGAAAGGCCCUGCUUUUGUGGGGUGCUCGAGUGGCGAACGGGUGAGUAACACGUGAGUAACCUGCCCUUGACUUUGGGAUAACUUCAGGAAACUGGGGCUAAUACCGGAUAGGAGCUCCUGCUGCAUGGUGGGGGUUGGAAAGUUUCGGCGGUUGGGGAUGGACUCGCGGCUUAUCAGCUUGUUGGUGGGGUAGUGGCUUACCAAGGCUUUGACGGGUAGCCGGCCUGAGAGGGUGACCGGCCACAUUGGGACUGAGGUACGGCCCAGGCUCCUACGGGAGGCAGCAGUGGGGAAUAUUACACAAUGGUCGGAAGCCUGAUGCAACAACGCCGCGUGCGGGAUGACGGCCUUCGGGUUGUGAACCGCUUUCGCCUGUGACGAGGCGUGAGUGACGGUAAUGGGUAAAGAAGCACCGGCUAACUACGUG